GUCUCAGGCCGUAUCAGCCUGAAGGCGCCCGAUCUCGUCGGAUCUCGGAAGCUAAGCAGGGUCGGGCCUGGUUUAGUAUCUUGGAUGGGGAACCACCUGGGGAAUCCCGGGUGCUCGAGGCU
Molecule: ribosomal RNA, 122 nt
Filed under: Bison bison bison
Lineage: Eukaryota; Metazoa; Chordata; Mammalia; Artiodactyla; Bovidae
Source: RNAcentral